UGCCAGUUAGCUCAAUUGGUUAGAGAGUGGUGCUGAUAACACCAAAGGUGGCAGGUUUGAUUCCCAUAUGGGCUG
Molecule: non-coding RNA, 75 nt
Organism: Podarcis lilfordi (Lilford's wall lizard)
Lineage: Eukaryota; Metazoa; Chordata; Lepidosauria; Squamata; Lacertidae
Source: the annotation of a GenBank genome assembly